This 576-nucleotide ribosomal RNA is filed under the name fungal endophyte. RNAcentral describes it as "eukaryotic LSU rRNA". The stretch from base 196 to 348 matches the Rfam family "5.8S ribosomal RNA". Lineage: Eukaryota; Fungi. The record is from RNAcentral.
ACCUGCGGAAGGAUCAUUACCGAGUGAGGGCCCUCUGGGUCCAACCUCCCACCCGUGUUUAUUUUACCUUGUUGCUUCGGCGGGCCCGCCUUAACUGGCCGCCGGGGGGCUUACGCCCCCGGGCCCGCGCCCGCCGAAGACACCCUCGAACUCUGUCUGAAGAUUGAAGUCUGAGUGAAAAUAUAAAUUAUUUAAAACUUUCAACAACGGAUCUCUUGGUUCCGGCAUCGAUGAAGAACGCAGCGAAAUGCGAUACGUAAUGUGAAUUGCAAAUUCAGUGAAUCAUCGAGUCUUUGAACGCACAUUGCGCCCCCUGGUAUUCCGGGGGGCAUGCCUGUCCGAGCGUCAUUGCUGCCCUCAAGCCCGGCUUGUGUGUUGGGCCCCGUCCCCCGAUCUCCGGGGGACGGGCCCGAAAGGCAGCGGCGGCACCGCGUCCGGUCCUCGAGCGUAUGGGGCUUUGUCACCCGCUCUGUAGGCCCGGCCGGCGCUUGCCGAUCAACCCAAAUUUUUAUCCAGGUUGACCUCGGAUCAGGUAGGGAUACCCGCUGAACUUAAGCAUAUCAAUAAGGCGGAGGA